GAUUAACUGCAGGGCAGCGACCUUGGGAGAUGGAAAUCCGGCACGAAUUCGUACCACUCACUGCCGAAGGCAACUACCCCUUAAAUGGACGCCGGCUAAAGUUGAUAACUAAAAAUCAUCGCCAAAGUAGAUGAUCUAUAUUCCUUGUGAUAUAAGUUUCGAAACUUUAGUGAGUAGGAAGGUACAAUGGUAUGCGUAGAAGUGUUAGCAUAAGCCUGCAUGGAGCUGCCAUUGGUACAGAUCUUGGUGGUAGUAGCAAAUAAUCGAUUGAGACCCUUGGAGGACUGAAGUGGAGAAGGGUUUCGUGUGAACAGUGGUUGAUCACGAGUUAGUCGGUCCUAAGUUCAAGGCGCAAAGCCGAAAAUUUUCAAGUAAAAACAAAAAUGCCUAACUAUAUAAACAAAGCGAAUAUAAUACACUUGAAUCAUUUUGAACGAAAGGGAAUACGGUUCCAAUUCCGUAUCCUGUUGAGUAUCCGUUUGUUAUUAAAUAUGGACCUCGUGCUCAUCCUGGCAACAGGACCGACCAUAAAGAAGCCGUCGAGAGAUAUCGGAAGAGUUUUCUUUUCUGUUUAAUAGCCGUACUACCAUGGAAGUCUUUCGCAGAGAGAUAUGGUAGAUGGGCUAGAAGAGCAUGACAUAUACUGUUGUGUCGAUAUUUUCUCCUCGGACCUCGAAAAUUUAUGGUGGGGACACGCAAACUUCUCAACAGGCCGUACCAAUAUCCGCAGCUGGUCUCCAAGGUGAAGAGUCUCUAGUCGAUAGAAUAAUGUAGGUAAGGGAAGUCGGCAAAUUAGAUCCGUAACUUCGAGAUAAGGAUUGGCUCUGAAGAUUGAGAUAGUCGGGCUUGAUUGGGAAACAAUAACAUGGUUUAUGUGCUCGUUCUGAGUAAAUAGAGUUUCUAGCAUUUAUGUUAGUUACUUGUUCCCCGGAUAGUUUAGUUACGUAGCCAAUUGUGGAACUUUCUUGCUAAAAUUUUUAAGAAUACUAUUUGGGUUAAACCAAUUAGUUCUUAUCAAUUAUAACGAUUAUCAAUUAACAAUCAAUUCAGAACUGGCACGGACUUGGGGAAUCCGACUGUCUAAUUAAAACAAAGCAUUGUGAUGGCCCUAGCGGGUGUUGACACAAUGUGAUUUCUGCCCAGUGCUCUGAAUGUCAAAGUGAAGAAAUUCAAGUAAGCGCGGGUCAACGGCGGGAGUAACUAUGACUCUCUUAAGGUAGCCAAAUGCCUCGUCAUCUAAUUAGUGACGCGCAUGAAUGGAUUAACGAGAUUCCUACUGUCCCUAUCUACUAUCUAGCGAAACCACAGCCAAGGGAACGGGCUUGGAAUAAUUAGCGGGGAAAGAAGACCCUUUUGAGCUUGACUCUAAUCUGGCAGUGUAAGGAGACAUAAGAGGUGUAGAAUAAGUGGGAGAUAUUAGACCUCGGUUUGGUAUCGUCAAUGAAAUACCACUACUCUUAUUGUUUCCUUACUUACUUGAUUAAAUGGAACGUGUAUCAUUUCCUAGCCAUUAUACGGAUAUAUUUAUUAUAUCUUAUGGUAUUGGGUUUUGAUGCAAGCUUCUUGAUCAAAGUAUCACGAGUUUGUUAUAUAAUCGCAAACAAAUUCUUUAAUAAAACGAUGCAUUUAUGUAUUUUUGAUUUGAAAAUUUGGUAUAACU
This is a ribosomal RNA of Drosophila sechellia, 1660 nucleotides long. It matches the Rfam family "Eukaryotic large subunit ribosomal RNA", at positions 1232 to 2588 of the family's 3401-position model. Lineage: Eukaryota; Metazoa; Arthropoda; Insecta; Diptera; Drosophilidae. The record is from Rfam.